This 2902-nucleotide ribosomal RNA is filed under the name Enterobacter cloacae. Its description in RNAcentral is "bacterial LSU rRNA". It matches the Rfam family "Bacterial large subunit ribosomal RNA". Lineage: Bacteria; Pseudomonadati; Pseudomonadota; Gammaproteobacteria; Enterobacterales; Enterobacteriaceae. RNAcentral also lists the same sequence under 1 other name. The record is from RNAcentral.
UUAAGCGACUAAGCGUACACGGUGGAUGCCCUGGCAGUCAGAGGCGAUGAAGGACGUGCUAAUCUGCGAAAAGCGCCGGCGAGGUGAUAUGAACCCUUGACCCGGCGAUGUCCGAAUGGGGAAACCCAGUGCAAUCCGACACACUAUCGUUAACUGAAUACAUAGGUUAACGAGGCGAACCGGGGGAACUGAAACAUCUAAGUACCCCGAGGAAAAGAAAUCAACCGAGAUUCCCCCAGUAGCGGCGAGCGAACGGGGAGCAGCCCGGAGUCUGAAUCAGCUUGUGUGUUAGUGGAACGGUCUGGAAAGUCCGACGGUACAGGGUGAUAGUCCCGUACACGAAAACACACAUGCUGUGAACUCGAAGAGUAGGGCGGGACACGUGGUAUCCUGUCUGAAUAUGGGGGGACCAUCCUCCAAGGCUAAAUACUCCUGACUGACCGAUAGUGAACCAGUACCGUGAGGGAAAGGCGAAAAGAACCCCGGCGAGGGGAGUGAAAAAGAACCUGAAACCGUGUACGUACAAGCAGUGGGAGCACCUUCAUGGGGUGACUGCGUACCUUUUGUAUAAUGGGUCAGCGACUUAUAUUCUGUAGCAAGGUUAACCGUAUAGGGGAGCCGAAGGGAAACCGAGUCUUAACUGGGCGUUAAGUUGCAGGGUAUAGACCCGAAACCCGGUGAUCUAGCCAUGGGCAGGUUGAAGGUUGGGUAACACUAACUGGAGGACCGAACCGACUAAUGUUGAAAAAUUAGCGGAUGACCUGUGGCUGGGGGUGAAAGGCCAAUCAAACCGGGAGAUAGCUGGUUCUCCCCGAAAGCUAUUUAGGUAGCGCCUCGUGAACUCAUCUUCGGGGGUAGAGCACUGUUUCGGCUAGGGGGCCAUCCCGGCUUACCAACCCGAUGCAAACUACGAAUACCGAAGAAUGUUAUCACGGGAGACACACGGCGGGUGCUAACGUCCGUCGUGAAGAGGGAAACAACCCAGACCGCCAGCUAAGGUCCCAAAGUCAUGGUUAAGUGGGAAACGAUGUGGGAAGGCACAGACAGCCAGGAUGUUGGCUUAGAAGCAGCCAUCAUUUAAAGAAAGCGUAAUAGCUCACUGGUCGAGUCGGCCUGCGCGGAAGAUGUAACGGGGCUAAACCAUGCACCGAAGCUGCGGCAGCGACACUAUGUGUUGUUGGGUAGGGGAGCGUUCUGUAAGCCGUUGAAGGUGUGCUGUGAGGCAUGCUGGAGGUAUCAGAAGUGCGAAUGCUGACAUAAGUAACGAUAAAGCGGGUGAAAAGCCCGCUCGCCGGAAGACCAAGGGUUCCUGUCCAACGUUAAUCGGGGCAGGGUGAGUCGACCCCUAAGGCGAGGCCGAAAGGCGUAGUCGAUGGGAAACAGGUUAAUAUUCCUGUACUUGGUGUUACUGCGAAGGGGGGACGGAGAAGGCUAUGUCAGCCGGGCGACGGUUGUCCCGGUUUAAGCAUGUAGGCGGAGGUUCCAGGUAAAUCCGGUACCUUUUAACGCUGAGGUGUGAUGACGAGGCACUACGGUGCUGAAGUGAUAAAUGCCCUGCUUCCAGGAAAAGCCUCUAAGCAUCAGGUAACACGAAAUCGUACCCCAAACCGACACAGGUGGUCAGGUAGAGAAUACCAAGGCGCUUGAGAGAACUCGGGUGAAGGAACUAGGCAAAAUGGUGCCGUAACUUCGGGAGAAGGCACGCUGAUAUGUAGGUGAAGCCCCUGCGGGCGGAGCUGAAAUCAGUCGAAGAUACCAGCUGGCUGCAACUGUUUAUUAAAAACACAGCACUGUGCAAACACGAAAGUGGACGUAUACGGUGUGACGCCUGCCCGGUGCCGGAAGGUUAAUUGAUGGGGUUAGCGGCAACGCGAAGCUCUUGAUCGAAGCCCCGGUAAACGGCGGCCGUAACUAUAACGGUCCUAAGGUAGCGAAAUUCCUUGUCGGGUAAGUUCCGACCUGCACGAAUGGCGUAAUGAUGGCCAGGCUGUCUCCACCCGAGACUCAGUGAAAUUGAACUCGCUGUGAAGAUGCAGUGUACCCGCGGCAAGACGGAAAGACCCCGUGAACCUUUACUAUAGCUUGACACUGAACACUGGUCCUUGAUGUGUAGGAUAGGUGGGAGGCUUUGAAGCGUGGACGCCAGUCUGCGUGGAGCCGCCCUUGAAAUACCACCCUUUAAUGGCUGGUGUUCUAACGUAGACCCGUGAUCCGGGUUGCGGACAGUGUCUGGUGGGUAGUUUGACUGGGGCGGUCUCCUCCCAAAGAGUAACGGAGGAGCACGAAGGUUGGCUAAUCCUGGUCGGACAUCAGGAGGUUAGUGCAAUGGCAUAAGCCAGCUUGACUGCGAGCGUGACGGCGCGAGCAGGUGCGAAAGCAGGUCAUAGUGAUCCGGUGGUUCUGAAUGGAAGGGCCAUCGCUCAACGGAUAAAAGGUACUCCGGGGAUAACAGGCUGAUACCGCCCAAGAGUUCAUAUCGACGGCGGUGUUUGGCACCUCGAUGUCGGCUCAUCACAUCCUGGGGCUGAAGUAGGUCCCAAGGGUAUGGCUGUUCGCCAUUUAAAGUGGUACGCGAGCUGGGUUUAGAACGUCGUGAGACAGUUCGGUCCCUAUCUGCCGUGGGCGCUGGAGAAUUGAGGGGGGCUGCUCCUAGUACGAGAGGACCGGAGUGGACGCAUCACUGGUGUUCGGGUUGUCAUGCCAAUGGCACUGCCCGGUAGCUAAAUGCGGAAGAGAUAAGUGCUGAAAGCAUCUAAGCACGAAACUUGCCCCGAGAUGAGUUCUCCCUGAGACUUUAAGUCUCCUGAAGGAACGUUGAAGACGACGACGUUGAUAGGUCGGGUGUGUAAGCGCAGCGAUGCGUUGAGCUAACCGAUACUAAUGAACCGUGAGGCUUAACCUU